Molecule: ribosomal RNA, 620 nt
Filed under: Kocuria rosea
Lineage: Bacteria; Bacillati; Actinomycetota; Actinomycetes; Micrococcales; Micrococcaceae
Description: bacterial SSU rRNA
Rfam family: Bacterial small subunit ribosomal RNA
Source: RNAcentral
AGUCGAACGAUGAUGCCCAGCUUGCUGGGCGGAUUAGUGGCGAACGGGUGAGUAAUACGUGAGUAACCUGCCCUUGACUCUGGGAUAAGCCUGGGAAACUGGGUCUAAUACUGGAUACUACCUCUUGCCGCAUGGUGGGUGGUGGAAAGGGUUUUACUGGUUUUGGAUGGGCUCACGGCCUAUCAGCUUGUUGGUGGGGUAAUGGCUCACCAAGGCGACGACGGGUAGCCGGCCUGAGAGGGUGACCGGCCACACUGGGACUGAGACACGGCCCAGACUCCUACGGGAGGCAGCAGUGGGGAAUAUUGCACAAUGGGCGGAAGCCUGAUGCAGCGACGCCGCGUGAGGGAUGACGGCCUUCGGGUUGUAAACCUCUUUCAGUAGGGAAGAAGCGAGAGUGACGGUACCUGCAGAAGAAGCGCCGGCUAACUACGUGCCAGCAGCCGCGGUAAUACGUAGGGCGCAAGCGUUGUCCGGAAUUAUUGGGCGUAAAGAGCUCGUAGGCGGUUUGUCGCGUCUGCUGUGAAAGCCCGGGGCUCAACCCCGGGUCUGCAGUGGGUACGGGCAGACUAGAGUGCAGUAGGGGAGACUGGAAUUCCUGGUGUAGCGGUGAAAUGCGC